Molecule: ribosomal RNA, 433 nt
Filed under: uncultured bacterium
Lineage: Bacteria
Description: partial 16S ribosomal RNA
Rfam family: Bacterial small subunit ribosomal RNA
Source: RNAcentral
AACGAACGCUGGCGGCAUGCCUAACACAUGCAAGUCGAACGAGACCUUCGGGUCUAGUGGCGCACGGGUGCGUAACGCGUGGGAACCUGCCCUUAGGUUCGGAAUAACUCCCCGAAAUGGGUGCUAAUACCGGAUAAUGUCUUCGGACCAAAGAUUUAUCGCCUUUGGAUGGGCCCGCGUUGGAUUAGCUAGUUGGUAGGGUAAAAGCCUACCAAGGCGACGAUCCAUAGCUGGUAUGAGAGGAUGAUCAGCCACACUGGGACUGAGACACGGCCCAGACUACUACGGGAGGAAGCAGUGGGGAAUAUUGGAAAAUGGGCGAAAGCAUGAUCCAGCAAUGCCGCGUGAGUGAUGAAGGCAUUAGGGUUGUAAAGCUCUUUUACACGGGAUGAUAAUGACAGUACCGGGAGAAUAAGCCCCGGCUAACUCCGUG